This 508-nucleotide ribosomal RNA is filed under the name uncultured bacterium. RNAcentral's name for it is "partial 16S ribosomal RNA". It matches the Rfam family "Bacterial small subunit ribosomal RNA", at positions 28 to 523 of the family's 1533-position model. The record is from RNAcentral.
GACGAACGCUGGCGGCGCGCUUAACACAUGCAAGUCGAGCGAGAACCAGGGCUUCGGCCCUGGGGACAGCGGCGAACGGGUGAGUAACACGUGGGUGAUCUGCCCUCGGCACCGGAAUAGCCCGGGGAAACCCGGAUUAAUGCCGGAUGGCCCCUUCACCUCGCGAGGUGUCGGGAAAAGGUAGCUUCGGCCUCUGGCCGAGGAUGAGCCCGCGGCGGAUUAGCUUGUUGGCGGGGUACCGGCCCACCAAGGCGACGAUCCGUAGCUGGUCUGAGAGGACGAUCAGCCACACUGGGACUGAGACACGGCCCAGACUCCUACGGGAGGCAGCAGUGGGGAAUCUUGCGCAAUGGGCGAAAGCCUGACGCAGCGACGCCGCGUGAGGGAAGAAGGCCUUCGGGUUGUAAACCUCUUUCAGGAGGGACGAAGCUACUCGGGUGAAUAGCCCAGAGGGUGACGGUACCUCCAGAAGAAGCCCCGGCUAACUACGUGCCAGCCGCCGCGGUAA